GAGUUUGAUCAUGGCUCAGGAUGAACGCUGGCGGCGUGCCUAACACAUGCAAGUCGAACGAAGCAUAUAGAAGGAAGUUUUCGGAUGGAAUUUUAUAUGACUUAGUGGCGGACGGGUGAGUAACGCGUGGAUAAUCUGCCUUACACAGCGGGAUAACAAAUGGAAACAGUUGCUAAUACCGCAUAAGCACACAGUAUCGCAUGAUACAGGGUGAAAAGAUUUAUCGGUGUAAGAUGAGUCCGCGUCCCAUUAGCUGGUUGGUGAGGUAAAAGCUUACCAAGGCGACGAUGGGUAGCCGGCCUGAGAGGGUGAACGGCCACAUUGGGACUGAGACACGGCCCAGACUCCUACGGGAGGCAGCAGUGGGGGAUAUUGCACAAUGGGCGAAAGCCUGAUGCAGCGACGCCGCGUGAAGGAAGAAGUAUUUCGGUAUGUAAACUUCUAUCAGCAGGGAAGAAAAUGACGUACCUGACUAAGAGCCCG
Molecule: ribosomal RNA, 483 nt
Filed under: Lachnospiraceae bacterium canine oral taxon 024
Lineage: Bacteria; Bacillati; Bacillota; Clostridia; Lachnospirales; Lachnospiraceae
Description: bacterial SSU rRNA
Rfam family: Bacterial small subunit ribosomal RNA
Source: RNAcentral